This 237-nucleotide unclassified non-coding RNA is filed under the name Rhizophagus sp. (in: glomeromycetes). RNAcentral's name for it is "partial contains 5.8S ribosomal RNA and internal transcribed spacer 2". The stretch from base 1 to 65 matches the Rfam family "5.8S ribosomal RNA", at positions 84 to 154 of the family's 154-position model. Lineage: Eukaryota; Fungi; Glomeromycota; Glomeromycetes; Glomerales; Glomeraceae. The record is from RNAcentral.
GUGAAUCAUCAAAUUUUUGAACGCAAAUUGCACUCUCUUCGGAGAGUAUGCCUGUUUGAGGGUCAGUAUUAAUAAAAAUCGGUGUGUUGCUUCUUUGUGACGCUCCGGAGUUUGGGUCAUCUUAAUAUCCUUUAGGUUUUAAGAGGCUUAAAAUUGACUUUUUUUGCGCAUUUUAGAUGUACAUAAAUUCUUUUUUUUUUUAUUCUUCUUUAUUGCUCAAAUUCCAUUUGAAUGCAA